RNAcentral lists this ribosomal RNA (451 nucleotides) under Streptococcus cristatus. Its description in RNAcentral is "bacterial SSU rRNA". It matches the Rfam family "Bacterial small subunit ribosomal RNA", at positions 28 to 465 of the family's 1533-position model. Lineage: Bacteria; Bacillati; Bacillota; Bacilli; Lactobacillales; Streptococcaceae. The record is from RNAcentral.
GACGAACGCUGGCGGCGUGCCUAAUACAUGCAAGUAGAACGCUGAAGGGAGAGCUUGCUCUUCUGGAUGAGUUGCGAACGGGUGAGUAACGCGUAGGUAACCUGCCUGGUAGCGGGGGAUAACUAUUGGAAACGAUAGCUAAUACCGCAUAACAUUGACUAUUGCAUGAUAGUCAAUUGAAAGGUGCAAAUGCACCACUACCAGAUGGACCUGCGUUGUAUUAGCUAGUUGGUGGGGUAACGGCUCACCAAGGCGACGAUACAUAGCCGACCUGAGAGGGUGAUCGGCCACACUGGGACUGAGACACGGCCCAGACUCCUACGGGAGGCAGCAGUAGGGAAUCUUCGGCAAUGGACGGAAGUCUGACCGAGCAACGCCGCGUGAGUGAAGAAGGUUUUCGGAUCGUAAAGCUCUGUUGUAAGAGAAGAACGAGUGUGAGAGUGGAAAGUUC